UCUGAUACUCUUCGCUGCGCGGGA
RNAcentral lists this microRNA (24 nucleotides) under Pristionchus pacificus. RNAcentral's name for it is "ppc-miR-8265-3p". Lineage: Eukaryota; Metazoa; Nematoda; Chromadorea; Rhabditida; Neodiplogasteridae. The record is from miRBase by way of RNAcentral.